This 460-nucleotide ribosomal RNA is filed under the name uncultured bacterium. RNAcentral describes it as "partial 16S ribosomal RNA". It matches the Rfam family "Bacterial small subunit ribosomal RNA", at positions 338 to 795 of the family's 1533-position model. The record is from RNAcentral.
CCUACGGGAGGCAGCAGUGAGGAAUAUUGGUCAAUGGGCGCAAGCCUGAACCAGCCAAGUCGCGUGAGGGAUGACGGUCCUAUGGAUUGUAAACCUCUUUUGUCGGGGAGCAAGGCCCGCCACGUGUGGCGGGAAGGAGAGUACCCGAAGAAAAAGCAUCGGCGAACUCCGUGCCAGCAGCCGCGGUAAUACGGAGGAUGCGAGCGUGAUCCGGAUUUAUUGGGUUUAAAGGGUGCGUAGGCGGAAGGUUAAGUCAGCGGUAAAAUGUCGGUGCUCAACACCGGCCUGCCGUUGAAACUGGUCUUCUUGAGUGAGCGAGAAGUAUGCGGAAUGCGUGGUGUAGCGGUGAAAUGCAUAGAGAUCACGCAGAACUCCGAUUGCGAAGGCAGCAUACCGGCGCUCAACUGACGCUGAGGCACGAAAGCGUGGGGAUCGAACAGGAUUAGAUACCCCAGUAGUC